UACGUAGGGGGCAAGCGUUGUCCGGAAUCAUUGGGCGUAAAGCGCGUGUAGGCGGCUCGAUAAGUCUGCUGUGAAAGUCCAGGGCUCAACCCUGGGAUGCCGGUGGAUACUGUCGAGCUCGAGUCCGGAAGAGGCGAGUGGAGUUCCUGGUGUAGCGGUGAAAUGCGCAGAUAUCAGGAGGAACACCAAUGGCGAAGGCAGCUCGCUGGGACGUGACUGACGCUGAGACGCGAAAGCGUGGGGAGCAAACAGG
This 253-nucleotide ribosomal RNA is filed under the name uncultured bacterium. Its description in RNAcentral is "partial 16S ribosomal RNA". It matches the Rfam family "Bacterial small subunit ribosomal RNA", at positions 524 to 776 of the family's 1533-position model. The record is from RNAcentral.